This 314-nucleotide ribosomal RNA is filed under the name uncultured bacterium. RNAcentral's name for it is "partial 16S ribosomal RNA". It matches the Rfam family "Bacterial small subunit ribosomal RNA", at positions 495 to 807 of the family's 1533-position model. The record is from RNAcentral.
GUAUAAGAGACAGCAGCAGCCACGGUAAUACGAAGGGUGCAAGCGUUACUCGGAAUUACUGGGCGUAAAGCGUGCGUAGGUGGUGGUUUAAGUCCGUUGUGAAAGCCCUGGGCUCAACCUGGGAAUUGCAGUGGAUACUGGGUCACUAGAGUGUGGUAGAGGAUAGUGGAAUUUCCGGUGUAGCAGUGAAAUGCGUAGAGAUCGGAAGGAACAUCUGUGGCGAAGGCGACUAUCUGGGCCAACACUGACACUGAGGCACGAAAGCGUGGGGAGCAAACAGGAUUAGAUACCCCUGUAGUCCCUGUCUCUUAUAC